UGCUACUUUUGCCGGCGAGCGGCGGACGGGUGAGUAAUGCCUGGGAAAUUGCCCAGUCGAGGGGGAUAACAGUUGGAAACGACUGCUAAUACCGCAUACGCCCUACGGGGGAAAGCAGGGGACCUUCGGGCCUUGCGCGAUUGGAUAUGCCCAGGUGGGAUUAGCUAGUUGGUGAGGUAAUGGCUCACCAAGGCGACGAUCCCUAGCUGGUCUGAGAGGAUGAUCAGCCACACUGGAACUGAGACACGGUCCAGACUCCUACGGGAGGCAGCAGUGGGGAAUAUUGCACAAUGGGGGAAACCCUGAUGCAGCCAUGCCGCGUGUGUGAAGAAGGCCUUCGGGUUGUAAAGCACUUUCAGCGAGGAGGAAAGGUCAGUAGCUAAUAUCUGCUGACUGUGACGUUACUCGCAGAAGAAGCACCGGCUAACUCCGUGCCAGCAGC
This 442-nucleotide ribosomal RNA is filed under the name uncultured Aeromonas sp. RNAcentral's name for it is "bacterial SSU rRNA". It matches the Rfam family "Bacterial small subunit ribosomal RNA", at positions 77 to 515 of the family's 1533-position model. Lineage: Bacteria; Pseudomonadati; Pseudomonadota; Gammaproteobacteria; Aeromonadales; Aeromonadaceae. The record is from RNAcentral.